This 649-nucleotide long non-coding RNA is filed under the name Homo sapiens (human). Its description in RNAcentral is "HSALNT0071878". Lineage: Eukaryota; Metazoa; Chordata; Mammalia; Primates; Hominidae. The record is from RNAcentral.
AAAUGCAAAGGAGGAUGCUGGAUUAGAAAUCACAGCAGCUGGGUUGUCACUUGUUUAUAUGUGACUUCAGAUAAAUCACAACCUCUCAGAGCUCUCAUUUUUUAUAAGCAUGGAUAAAAAUGUCCAUCUUUCUAACCUCACCUGGUUAUUGUGAAAACCAGAUGAAUGUGGAUAUUCAUAAUCUCUGUAAUGUCAUGUAAGUACUCAUUGUUAUAUAAAUAUUGAUGUUACAGGAAAACCAUAUGGAUAAGAUUAUAAACACAAGAGAGGAAACAAAGGAUUAAGUAAGCUGAAGAAAUGCCAAAUUUCUUACUUCAAGGAAAAGGAACUAAAAAACAUUUUGUCCAGAUUUACCUGCCAGAGGAUUCCAGGGAAUGGCACUAGGCUGGUCCAACAGGGAUGUCCAGGUAUAAGAAAAAGGAAACCAAAUAAGAAGAGAGGACAAUAGAUUCAACAUGGAUAAAUCAGAGAUAUGUGAGAAUGAAUAAAAAGAACAAAAACUAAACUAAAGAAACAGUGAAUUUGUCUUCUAUUUUACUCUUAAAAAGAAGUUCUGGUCAUGAAUAUAAGAGAGUCAGCAGCCAAAAUGAAAAUCCAGCAGUUCCUUAAGGAAGUAAAAAUUUUCAACCAUUUCUAAUGUAUACGUAAA